AACAAUUUAAAAAUAUGUUAAGUAGUCAGUAAAGAAAUGUGUAAUAUGUUAAGUAGUCAGUAAAAAUAUUGGAGCAGGUAAUAAUUUUACGGAAAAAUUAAUGAUUUGGUCUAUAAACGCAAAGAAAUGUGUAAUUCUUGAGUAAGUGCUUUUCCUUCGUACUCUGUUCUUGAACUUAAUAAGGAAAAAAAGUGCUACCCAUUUUGAGAUUACAUUCUUCUAUGUUGCCUUAAUCCUUCCACUCUAAUUUGAGCUACUGCUCUUUCAGGUUCCUUUGGCAUGGUAAGAACUUUUUUUGUCAGAAUCUUACACAGCUGACUUUUUUACGCUCUAAAAAUUUGGUUGUUACUUUUGAUCUCUUUGGUGUUAAAAAAGACAAAAUCAUUAUAUCCGUGACUGUCAUAAAUUAAACUUCGACAAAAAAGUGUCCCAAAGUUAGAUACUUGUCUUCAUAUCAUAAAUUUGUCUUCCUGUUCGAAUUUUCCAAUUUAUCACUAGAAGAAUUCCGUUUUUGAUUAUUGCAGUAAUAUUCUCUAUCAAUUUCAGUAUGUUGCUGUGAAAAUUCUCAUGGAGCAAGACUUCCAUGCUGAGCGCGUCAAUGAGUUCUUGAGAGAGGUUGCGAUAAUGAAGCGCCUUCGCCACCCUAACAUUGUUCUCUUCAUGGGUGCGGUCACUCAACCUCCAAAUUUGUCAAUAGUGACAGAAUAUUUGUCAAGAGCUAAUUAGAAAGAAAUUAGAUGAGAGACGUCGCCUGAGUAUGGCUCAUGAUGUGGUAUGUCUGAUUUUCUUUAGUCACAUGUAUCAUGUAUGGGUGCGUAUUAAGUUGAUUGCUUUCUGAUCUUGGUGUUUCUUCACAUAGAAUUUAUUUUCCAGUUAUCUGAUGCAGGCUAAGGGAAUGAAUUAUCUUCACAACUGCAAUCCUCCAAUUGUGCAUAGAGAUCUAAAAUCUCCAAACUUGUUGGUUGACAAAAAAAUAUACAGUCAAGGUUUGAAUCGAAAUUAGAAACUGUUGUGUCCAAUGUCUUGAGUUUGAUAUUUUAGUAACAUCAUUCCUCUUCUAGUCUCGUGAGAGCAGCUUAGAUAUUCUAUUUUAAACAUAUUAAAUCAUCUUGGGGACAUUGCAAAAAGGCUUUAACCUGCUGAACUUAAAAAAAACGGCAGUCUCAAACUAUCUCUGGUUUAAGAAUUGUCCUUGAAUAGACUUCAUGAUGCAUAUGUUUCAUUACCAGUGAGCCAUGGAAGCGUCCAUAAUUUUGCAACUAUAAUGGACUUGCUAAGACCAUUGAUAAAAUCAGCGGUUCCUCCGCCCAACCGCUCGGAUUUGGAGGAAAUUAAAUGAAGUAAUGGAAACAGUGUGGGGGAUAAUCUUAAUCUAUCUAGUCCCAAAGGGUAAGCAAUAUUUUGUUGUUAUUAUUUCUAAUUACAUUGUUGUACAUUAAUACAGCUAAAUUAGUUGCCGAACGAAGCUAAAAAAAGCAGCUGCAAAAUCCUGUUGCAAACUUAAUAUGAUUUACAUACACUGUGC
Arabidopsis lyrata subsp. lyrata is the source of this 1525-nucleotide long non-coding RNA. RefSeq lists it as uncharacterized. The record is from RefSeq and is a predicted model, not a curated record. The transcript has 4 exons. Lineage: Eukaryota; Viridiplantae; Streptophyta; Magnoliopsida; Brassicales; Brassicaceae.